Molecule: ribosomal RNA, 627 nt
Filed under: uncultured bacterium
Lineage: Bacteria
Description: bacterial SSU rRNA
Rfam family: Bacterial small subunit ribosomal RNA (bases 1-534)
Source: RNAcentral
CCUACGGGAGGCAGCAGUGAGGAAUAUUGGACAAUGGGCGCAAGCCUGAUCCAGCCAUGCCGCGUGCAGGAUGACGGUCCUAUGGAUUGUAAACUGCUUUUAUACAGGAAGAAACACCUCUACGUGUAGAGACUUGACGGUACUGUAAGAAUAAGGAUCGGCUAACUCCGUGCCAGCAGCCGCGGUAAUACGGAGGAUCCAAGCGUUAUCCGGAAUCAUUGGGUUUAAAGGGUCCGUAGGCGGUUUAGUAAGUCAGCGGUGAAAGCCCAUCGCUCAACGGUGGAACGGCCAUUGAUACUGCUAGACUUGAAUUAUUAGGAAGUAACUAGAAUAUGUAGUGUAGCGGUGAAAUGCUUAGAGAUUACAUGGAAUACCAAUUGCGAAGGCAGGUUACUACUAAUUGAUUGACGCUGAUGGACGAAAGCGUGGGUAGCGAACAGGAUUAGAUACCCUGGUAGUCCACGCCGUAAACGAUGGAUACUAGCUGUUGGGCGCAAGUUCAGUGGNGUAGACGAGAGAGUAAGUAGUACCACCGUCGGGUAAGGUACGUAACGACGAAGUUAGUUAACGUUACGAAGGAAGUUAGACGGCGUUGAGACGNGCGACGGACGACGACGAGGGAGGAGG